UGUGGGAGCUGGCUUGCCUGCGAUAGCAGUGUGUCAGGCACUGAAUCUGCCACUGAUAGACCGCUAUCGCAGGCAAGCCAGCUCCCACA
RNAcentral lists this unclassified non-coding RNA (89 nucleotides) under Pseudomonas sp. bs2935. Lineage: Bacteria; Pseudomonadati; Pseudomonadota; Gammaproteobacteria; Pseudomonadales; Pseudomonadaceae. The record is from RNAcentral.